UGGGGAAUUUUGGACAAUGGGCGAAAGCCUGAUCCAGCAAUGCCGCGUGUGUGAAGAAGGCCUUCGGGUUGUAAAGCACUUUUGUCCGGAAAGAAAUCCUUGGCUCUAAUACAGUCGGGGGAUGACGGUACCGGAAGAAUAAGCACCGGCUAACUACGUGCCAGCAGCCGCGGUAAUACGUAGGGUGCAAGCGUUAAUCGGAAUUACUGGGCGUAAAGCGUGCGCAGGCGGUUUGCUAAGGCCGAUGUGAAAUCCCCGGGCUCAACCUGGGAACUGCAUUGGUGACUGGCAGGCUAGAGUAUGGCAGAGGGGGGUAGAAUUCCACGUGUAGCAGUGAAAUGCGUAGAGAUGUGGAGGAAUACCGAUGGCGAAGGCAGCCCCCUGGGCCAAUACUGACGCUCAUGCACGAAAGCGUGGGGAGCAAACAGGAUUAGAUACCCUGGUAGUCCACGCCCUAAACGAUGUCAACUAGUUGUUGGGGAUUCAUUUCCUUAGUAACGUAGCUAACGCGUGAAGUUGACCGCCUGGGGAGUACGGUCGCAAGAUUAAAACUCAAAGGAAUUGACGGGGUCAUAGCUG
Molecule: ribosomal RNA, 579 nt
Filed under: uncultured bacterium
Lineage: Bacteria
Description: partial 16S ribosomal RNA
Rfam family: Bacterial small subunit ribosomal RNA
Source: RNAcentral